CGUAUAGAUUUUUAAUUUUCCAUUGGCGCCCUUCCGAUGGCCGCCAUCUGCCGUUGUCGUCCGUCGACUUGACGAUCAAGCAAAACGCAAAAUUUGGGGAAUUCGGGGCCAAACAGAGGAGAACGAUAAUAACGCGUAUCAAUCGUUUUCUGUUCACCUGCAAGAGGUUCUUGGACGACACGGCGGCCAUAAUGCAGCAAUCCACUAGGGGACGACGAAAUUGCAUGAUGACUUCCCGGAGAAUUACCUGGUUAGCUCGUAAUUGCAUUUGAUUCCGUUAUUGCUAACACGAAAACUUACUUCCACGAGCAUCUCGUUCGCCUGUAGGAAGUCUUAGAAACGCAGUAUGAGAAACAUUUCGGAGGCAAUAAACUAACGACUACAAUGGCAAAUUCCCUACAAAAUUUUGCAGUUUUUAGGACUUCAAGGCAUUGUUUCAGGAGGCAUUAACAUCGCUCAAACUUGCCGGCUAAUUAAACCCGUAUUAUGCAUCGGUCUUUUCCAAGGUGGAAAUAGCUUGUAAAUGACAAACGUUUCUCCGGGACGAAAGGGAAUCGAUGUCAAUUGCACAAUUGCUCGGGACGACAGGCAGAGCAGCGAAAAAGCGAAACGGUUCAAACUUCAUGUCCCAAUGCGCCGAUAGUCCGGUCCACGGCUUUCCCCCACUUUCGACCGGGUACGCGAUCGAGAAUUCUUCGGAGACUCCAAUUCUUCGUUGCGAGUGGCCCUCUACUCCGACAACGCUGUUCCGGCAAUUGAAAAAGUUUGUUCAGCGAAUUAACAAUGGCCGACGUACGACGACGACGAUCCUCAACAACCCGCAUCAAUCCACCUGCAUCGACCGUGGCGACCAUUACUCACAUUGCGGGCGCGACUCCGUGAACGUUGUUUACGUCACCGAAGGCGGUGCAUCAUUGGAGAGGCUGGCAUUUAUCCCGGUUCUUUCCUGUAAGUGACAUGUUAUACAUUAAUUUAUUAUUCCUUUAUUAGUAAAAUGAAAAAUAUCUUAUAUCCAAAGGGUUUGUAAAACGGCGAAAACUCAACGAAACUUUGAAUAAUUGAUAUAGGCAUUUACAAAACGAUUUUAUAUUCAAUUCAUUUCUAUGCCUGUAUAUUAACGAGUCAAAAUGUAUCGAUCUUUCAUUUAUUUGAAACCUUUCUAUCGCCUUUAAGUUUCGUUCGCCCCAAUACAAAACAAUAGUACUAUAAUCGUCAUUUCAACGUGAUGCAGAUUGACCCAUUCAACGAUCAGAGAAAUACACGUCAAAAUGCAAUACGUUUUUUUUUCCCGAUUGCAUCAGACUUUCUCUUCUCGCUUUCGCUAAAUUUUAAACAUACAUAUAUCCAUUUCAGAUAUUAAAAAAAAAACAGACUUAAUGUAUUGACAUUUCGCUUUUGUAAUCUCGAAACUCUUGGCGGAACACUCCGCGAUCGGGCAGAAAAAAAAAUCGAUGUAUCCUUCAUAUGUAACGAUGUUUUUAUGCGCGCUUGAUGGUCAGCGGGACCGAAGCUUUAGUGUAUCGACGUGCUCGGACUUACUUCCAAAGCUAUGUAGUAGAUACACCGCACUUCGCUGUGCGGUGUAUCUUCGAGAAAUGGGGAUAUGCAGAUUAGAUGAAUAGCAAUUUUGCGUGUUCGUGACCGCCGCUGAAUGGAAAAUGCGAUGUGUAUAUAAUCAAGAAAUACGCUCGAUAUAAAUGAGACGAACAACCGUCAUGAUUUUAUUCUCGUAACGUAGAAAUCGUAAUUUUCUUCGGAAAAGCAUAAUCUUCGAUAUUUUUCGCGCAAAUCAAUAAAUGUACGAUCUACUUCGAAACCGUGGACUGGUUUUAGAGAUGAAAACCGCGUGAAAGUCCGAUUGUAGAUAUAUAUAAAACCUACGUCAUAUUUUCGUGAAGAAGACAAUGUUGAUUUCGAACUUCUCUUCGAACGUGUAAAACUAAUUUCUGACGAAUACUUCAACCGUACCGGGUGCGAAUCCUUGCGGUAUUUAAACGCGGGAUUUGUAGGAACCGCGCAAAUCGGCUUGGCGCGGCUAAUCUCUCUCUUCGCGAGUCGAGUUACCUCGCAAAAAUAGCGGAACGAGCCCGUCCGUCGAACAUGCGCGUUAGGCGAAGGCAAGAAUAAAAAAGGAUUAAGCAGCGGGAAAAAGCUUCCACGUGCGAAACACAAAGUUCGCGAUACGUGCGCGAAAACGGGCGAACCGCACUACGAGUGAAAGCGUAGUCGGAAUAAAAACGAAGGGAGAUCAUCCUCGGUCGCGGAUACUCGCCCUCUUGCCGUCUCUCUCGUGCUAGAGUCCAAUUUAUCGAAAAAUGUAAAAAACCGCGCGGCAAAAAGCACCUCGUCGAAGUCGGCAUCGUCGGCAAUAUUGAGAGAGAGAGAGAGAGAGGAAGAGAGAGAGUUUGGCAUUAAAAAAUCUCCCUCUUGCAGCGCCGAAGAAGGGAGAGACUUCUUGUUACGAACCCUUCGCCGGUGGUUCGCACCCUUCCUCCAAGAAUGACUUAAGUACCCUCCUCGUCGCGGUGAGUUUCUUUUGCUUAUAUUUUCAAAUAUAUCUGCCCCUUCAUCCGAUCGUGAACUUCUCCUCUGCUCCGUUCCUUUAUCAUUUUUAUUCGAGUGAGAAGAGACUUUUCUCUUUGUGCGAAUAGCCGGUGGGAAACGACAACGCUGUCUCGUAAACGCGGCAAAGCCGCCGCACCGUUUACAAGCUUACGUGAGUAGGACUCUGUAAAUAACUUUCGCGGGGUAACUUUAGCACACCGACAAACGGCAGCAGCGGUCGAAAUAUUCUCGCAGGAAUGUCAUCGUGUUUCGUGCUCGGCUUGUUAUUUUCGCCGUCGUAAUCGUGUUUAUCGAUUAAACAUACACGUCAAUUGUCGCAAUUUAUUUCUUAGUUGCAACUUGCUUUGUAUCCUAUUCUAUCGCAAUUUUGAUACCGCGUAUUGCUGUGACUUACCACACCGUCACGCAUCUUUCUCGUGCUUCGUUUUUCAUUUCUUCGUGUCUCCGAUCACUUGAGGGAAUGAGUACCUCUUAACAGUAACUUAUAUAACAUGAAAGGCAGAAAGUAUUAUUCCACGUUUCGAUUUUAUCGCUUUAAUUUAAAUCCGAGACAACGAGAGAGAAACGUAGGGAGGUCGAAUUGCGAAGUCAGGAUUUUCUUCGUGGCAUUCCUUUCUCGCGGAGGCCGAGAAUGGCCUCUUCGUCGCACGCGGAACUGCUCUUAGAAUUUUUAUGGGAUACCGGUAUUAUGUACGAGACGCGAACACCGUUCUCGCACCUGCGUGGAAACAACCACUGUCGGCACGCCAACGAUGCGACGGGGGUGCUAUUACGCGCAUAAAAAAAGAAGAAAAAAAGAAAUUUACUCCCUGAAACUGCCUUCCCGGGAGCACAGCCUGCGCCGACGAAAAUAUUAAAGCGAAAUGCUUUAACUACCGAUGACUUUAAUAAAAUUCAAAAUAUUAUUUCGCUCCUCCAACCGUACCUUGCGACAGUCUCUUGCAAAUAGCACGGCGAUGGCGUGUGUUAAGUUAGCCCCCACAAAUUAAAAUUCGGUAGUUCUGAUGAGAGAGAGAAUUUUACAAAGAUUAUUAAUAUCCCUGUCACCAUUUAUUAAUUACAUUUAAUCAUUUUUCUCAUAAGAAUUAAAAGCACAAACAUUUUAGAUAAAAUUAUUUUUGUCGCGCGUAAUACUUAAAAGCAAAUUGCCUACCAUGUACACUCUUGAAAUGCGUAAAAAUGUUUAUAUUUUUUAAAAUUUACUUUAUAUAUUUGGCAAGCAUAUAAAUCUCUGUCUGAGGAUUUUAAUCUUUUUAAUUAGUUUUACUUUAAUAAUCCUCAACCCCUGGAUUGUUUAAGAAGCAAUAUCUAUUUCGCAAUAUUUUCUUCGAGUUUUCGCUGACUAAUGUGAUUAAUCUCGGAUAUCCCGAUUUCUGCUCGUAAACGAGAUUCGCUGAUGGCUCGACAGGCGACUUGAAAAAAUCGAUUGGAAACUCACCAGCUAGCCUCCGACAUUUUCGUCGACUCAUCUCCAUCAAAUCAUGAUUUGCUUAGGGGAAGGGUCCUCCUAAUAAGAUAAACCAAGCGGGAGAACUGGUGGCGGUUGAAGGGGGCGCGUACACGCUCCCUUGGAGCUUAGUCACGAGUCUUUCGCCGAAUCAGGAAAAUUAUAAUUCUCGUAAGUGCUGCUGGCUUUGUCGCGACCGGGAAGAGUUGGUUUUCUUGCGACGUGCGAGAAACGUCUUUCGAGAUUCGCGUGCUCCAUACCGUUUCCUAGCCAAAUAAUUUUCCGGAUACUCUUUCGGCACGCGUUCUCGUCCGAUCGGAUAAAGUGAAAUGACAAAUUGAAACAUAUUGCAAGACCGAAGAAACAUUAUUGGCGCUCGUGAGAUUCGUUUCCGUCGAAAGUGGACAAGGAUUUCGCGUCGCGAUUCUCUCCACAAUAGAGAGGCAUUUCGCCUCUUACAAGAUAAAAAGUCGCAAACGGUUUCGUAAAAAUGAUAGACACGAAAUGUCGUUAUUGAAAGAAAAAAAAUGGUUCCUCUAUAUUAUUCCUUUUCAUGGUAUUUCCUGCGUCGCGCUACAUUUAUAUAUUGGUAUCAUUAGAAAAGUGAGGAAACAAUUGGUACAAUAACGCGCAAGUGAAGUGUAACGUGACAUUCAUGAAUGGCAAUCAUUGUGGUCAACGUGGACGCGACUAGAUUUCAGAUUUUAUCGAGCCAAUAAUAUCCGGUAUAGAAUAUACGAGACCUUUAUUAUAUAUGACAAGCGGUGCGGAUUGUACAACAGGGCAGUGAAUAUUUUUCUCUUUUUCAUUCCCGUUAAAUAUGAUUUUUACUGAUAAAAAAUUUAUACCACGCUUCAAAAACUGAAUACAAUACGAUUGUGAUUGAGCUAACUGUCGGCAAUAAAAUACAAUUGGAUUUACUUCUGUAAUACGUGAAGUUCCCUCUCUCUCGUAGACAAAAAAUGGGAGAAAUUUUCAUAUUGCAUGCCGCUUUGUUUUUUACAGAGGACAUUUAUGGUAGUGUAUAUAGGGUUUACGUAAAAUUUUAUGUACACAACGGUAAUGUAAACUCUGUGAAUUAAUCUUUAUAAUUUUUCGUGGCUCCACUGGUCCGCAUGUAAAUCGAAACGCGUUUACCGUAACGAUAUAUCACUUUUUUGCAUUUCUAUCUUGUCUCUUUAGACCGCGUAUUUUUAAGCGAUUAGCGAAAAUAAAGGGGAAUAACAUCGGCUUACUCUCCUCUCCCCCCUUCCUCGAAUAAUCGUGUUAUUUUCAACGACACGUUAGACGCACGUAGUAUUUGCAAUCAACUUGUUUAAGCUAAACGAAGUUUAAUGCAGACAUUUUGGAAGCUCGGCUUUUAAAUUUAAACUGCACAAUGUCCGUGGAAGCACAUCGACGAUUGGAGAAUGGAAUAUAUUGAGAGCAGUUCUUCAAGAUUUUCUCUUCGCUUGAUAAUCCAUAUAAUUAUCAAGUUACAAAUAUUACGCAUUCAUACAAUAUAAUUAUUUUAAUUAUAAAUAUUUACAGAAAUACAAUAAUUAAAAAUUAAUAUCGAAUGUAUUACUUAGAGGCUAGCUAAUACCUUUCUUCGUCAAUUAAAAUAUAAACUGCUCCUUAAAAUUCAAUGUAAUUACACGAUGCGAUCGAUAAAUUAGCGGUGCACUUAAUUUUUUUCUCUACUAAGUGAGGUCAAAUGCAAUUGCUGGAUGCAACCGGAGAAGCAAUAUCGGCCAAAGUGGCAGGAAAAAUGAUGGUCGGUCAAACUGACUGCAGCAAAUGAAAAAGUGAUACGUACGUGUUUCAGAAUCGUCGUGAACGUGGUUCGCCUCGAAGGAAAUGAGAGUUGAAGAGUGUCUCUAUUAACCCUUGAACAAAGACCGUUGAAGGAUAAACCAUAAAGCUAACAAUUGGCGAUAUGUUUCUUGAAGAUAUCGCAAGCGUGGGAACGCGGGAUUAGAGCACGUGAAUGUGAGAGAAACGAGUCAUGAAAAAAGUAUUACGUUAAAAAGGGGUCGCGCGGUCGUGAGAAAAUUGAUAUAAUUCCCAACGUGAUUCUAUAAUUCUCAAGAUACCACAUUGGCUGUAUCGAAAGGAAAUUUUCGAGGAGGAGAAUGAUAUGAGAAUUUCUUCCGUGUUCGGUUUCCUGAAAAAUUCACGACAUUGUCAUUGAAUAGAGGAAGAACACAGACAAGACACUGAUAUUGAGAUCAGAGGGAAUUGCGCGUAAAAUAAGAAUCCUCGUGAGCCAAAAAUUUUCAGAAUCGACGGAAAGGUUUCUAGGGUGACUCUCCGUGAAAACCGUGUUUUCAAUCUUCUAUUUUCUCGGGGUCUCCUUUCGGUUCCGCUCGACUACUCCGUCGAUUAUUUAUCGUGUCCCGUUCCAUCUUCGCCCGUCUGUUUCCCAAUCACGGUCGACAGUUGGCCGAUUAAACAUUAACCAAGGAAACCAAGUCGGAAAGAACUAUCGAGAUCAAGAUGUGUGUUGGUCGAUGGCCGCGGCGCGGUGGAAGCAGAUAAGGUCGAAGGUUUCACCGUAAUUGAAAGAGAAAGUUUGCGUAGGUUACACACAUCGGAAAGAUAGGUCGCUCUAUCGAUCACGCUGUCAUGCACGCCACUUCGCGUUCGUCGAAUCUGAACUGACGUCAUAAGCUCGUAUUUCGCGUGCGGGAUAAAACUGUCGUUGACAAUCUAAAUUGACAUCUGUGGAAAGCCUGGGCGGCAGAGAGAGGAGGGGGGGGAGAGAGGCGAGAGAUUAAUUGGAACGAAGCGCAUGCCAAUCUGAAGCCUGAUCAAGUUUUCUCCAAGUAAAUAAAGCGUACAUUUACUCGGCGGUCGUAUAACGUAACGCGUUAAAAAUAAUUAUUUUACAUGAUACAUGGUGGACCUCGUGUUUUUAUUGUUGACGUUAUAAAAUUUUGAGUGAUGCUCUUAACAGAAAAAAUUCUUGACGAAUACUUUUAAUAUAUAAUGAUUAUAAAACAAGAGAAAGUAUCUUAAGUGCAUAUUAUUUCGAACCUAUUGUUCAUACAUGAGGUACAUUAAUUUAAUGAGAAUGCUCUUGCAGGAUGAAAGCCUGGAAAGUGCUACAGUAAUGACAUUUAAUCAAUAUACCUUGUACAUUAGUUUUGCAUAUUUUAAAGAGUAACUCAAUAAGCGUCAUUUUCAUUUCAUAUGGAGUUUGUUUUUAAUUGUACUCACGAUAAUAUAUAUUAAAAAUAUAUGUAUAUAUUUCCAUGUUUUGUGUUUAAGUGUAUAAAUGUGACAACAAUGUUUUUAAUUCCAAACAAUGAUUAAAAAAAACAAUUUUCUAAUAGUUAAAGACUAAAAAUGCUCUAUUUAAAUUAAAUUAUUUACAAUUAAAUAUAUAAAAGUUUUCUAACAAUAAUUUUUGCGUUCUCUGCCAACGAAUACGAAGAUCAAUCCCUAAGACCAAUGACGUUAAAAAAAAUUCUUUCAGAUUAAUAAUCACACACAUAAAGCGCGGAAGCCUCCCGUUUACUCCAAAAUAUACUCAUGUACUUGAAUAUGUAAGAUAAAAAUUUUCUAAUUAAUUUUUUAAAUUAUUCUAUUGUUUUUAUUUUAUUUACUUUUAUAUUUUUUGAAUAGCUUUUUUAUUAAAACAAAUUUUUAUUUUGCGCUUCCAGAAUGCUUCAAACUUCAACUACAAAAUUACUGCUUAUAUGAAAAAAAUUGAUCAUCUUUCGCUCGAAAAAAUCCUGAAUAUGCCAUGUCAAUAAGAUACAAUCUAAAAUGAAAUAGUUUUAAUUUAAAUGACAAUAAAUAUGAAACAUUUUAAAUCGUCACACGAAUCGUUGACAGCUUAUAUUUAUUGUAUCACGAUACAGUGAAAUCAGAAUUGUUUUGUAAACGAGAAAUACACAGUUUCUAUCGAAACCAAAUUUAAUUGAUUCAAAUAAUUUUUUUUUUUAGUCCAAAAGUAAUUUUCGAGUACACUUGUAGAAAUAAUUGUUUCGCAAAA
This is a long non-coding RNA of Monomorium pharaonis (pharaoh ant), 7994 nucleotides long. RefSeq lists it as uncharacterized. Lineage: Eukaryota; Metazoa; Arthropoda; Insecta; Hymenoptera; Formicidae. The record is from RefSeq and is a predicted model, not a curated record. The transcript is spliced from 6 exons.